GUUUGAUUACCUCCACAUCCUUGUUUGAGUCUUCUGACCAAGGAAUCUUGUUGGUUUUGUUCAGUUCUUUCACAGGUUUGUGUUCCAAAAAUGUUAACUGGCUUAGGUCUUUUUUCAUAUGAGCUAUUUCUGAGGAACUGAAAUAUUCUGUUUUCCAAGCAGUUACAUUUUCUAAACUUUCUUUCUCAGUUACUAAAUCCUGGUUUAUCUUUUUAAGCAUACUCAGUUCUUUUACAACACUGUCCAAUUUUAUUCUCAGUUGUCUGACUUCCUCUCGAGCUUUAUUUCUUUCUGCUCUAACUUUGCUCCAUUUCUCCCUCCAAUUAGCAGUACAAUCUGACCACCAGCGCAUAGUUUUCUCCAUUUGGGCAGCUCUGGCUUUGACUUCUUCUAGUUCUCGAAUUCUUACUGCUUCAAAAAUUUCCAAGUCGCUGCAGUAAUUCAUAUGCAUAUAUGUAUAAUGAGGUGAAUAUGGGUAGAAAUUUUGAGAUGGAAAAUUUGAAUUACACAGAUUGUCAUCUGUUUGGCAAAUUUCAUCUAAUUUAUUUGGCUGUCUUGGCUGGGUCCUAAAAAUCUGUCUAUCUUCCAUUAGAUGCUGAACAGAUCCUAUGUUCAUGUUUUGAU
This 624-nucleotide long non-coding RNA is filed under the name Gallus gallus (chicken). Lineage: Eukaryota; Metazoa; Chordata; Aves; Galliformes; Phasianidae. The record is from RNAcentral.